GAUGAACGCUGGCGGCGUGCCUAAUACAUGCAAGUCGAGCGAACGGACGAGAAGCUUGCUUCUCUGAUGUUAGCGGCGGACGGGUGAGUAACACGUGGAUAACCUACCUAUAAGACUGGGAUAACUUCGGGAAACCGGAGCUAAUACCGGAUAAUAUUUUGAACCGCAUGGUUCAAAAGUGAAAGACGGUCUUGCUGUCACUUAUAGAUGGAUCCGCGCUGCAUUAGCUAGUUGGUAAGGUAACGGCUUACCAAGGCAACGAUGCAUAGCCGACCUGAGAGGGUGAUCGGCCACACUGGAACUGAGACACGGUCCAGACUCCUACGGGAGGCAGCAGUAGGGAAUCUUCCGCAAUGGGCGAAAGCCUGACGGAGCAACGCCGCGUGAGUGAUGAAGGUCUUCGGAUCGUAAAACUCUGUUAUUAGGGAAGAACAUAUGUGUAAGUAACUGUGCACAUCUUGACGGUACCUAAUCAGAAAGCCACGGCUAACUACGUGCCAGCAGCCGCGGUAAUACGUAGGUGGCAAGCGUUAUCCGGGAUUUAUGGGCGUAAAGCGCGCGUAGGCGGUUUUUUAAGUCUGAUGUGAAAGCCCACGGCUCAACCGUGGAGGGUCAUUGGAAACUGGAAAACUUGAGUGCAGAAGAGGAAAGUGGAAUUCCAUGUGUAGCGGUGAAAUGCGCAGAGAUAUGGAGGAACACCAGUGGCGAAGGCGACUUUCUGGUCUGUAACUGACGCUGAUGUGCGAGAGCGUGGGGAUCAAACAGGAUUAGAUACCCUGGUAGUCCACGCCGUAAACGAUGAGUGCUAAGUGUUAGGGGGUUUCCGCCCCUUAGUGCUGCAGCUAACGCAUUAAGCACUCCGCCUGGGGAGUACGACCGCAAGGUUGAAACUCAAAGGAAUUGGCGGGGACCCGCACAAGCGGUGGAGCAUGUGGUUUAAUUCGAAGCAACGCGAAGAACCUUACCAAAUCUUGACAUCCUCUGACCCCUCUAGAGAUAGAGGUUUCCCCUUCGGGGGACAGAGUGACAGGUGGUGCAUGGUUGUCGUCAGCUCGUGUCGUGAGAUGUUGGGUUAAGUCCCGCAACGAGCGCAACCCUUAAGCUUAGUUGCCAUCAUUAAGUUGGGCACUCUAAGUUGACUGCCGGUGACAAACCGGAGGAAGGUGGGGAUGACGUCAAAUCAUCAUGCCCCUUAUGAUUUGGGCUACACACGUGCUACAAUGGACAAUACAAAGGGCAGCGAAACCGCGAGGUCAAGCAAAUCCCAUAAAGUUGUUCUCAGUUCGGAUUGUAGUCUGCAACUCGACUACAUGAAGCUGGAAUCGCUAGUAAUCGUAGAUCAGCAUGCUACGGUGAAUACGUUCCCGGGUCU
Molecule: ribosomal RNA, 1372 nt
Filed under: uncultured bacterium
Lineage: Bacteria
Description: bacterial SSU rRNA
Rfam family: Bacterial small subunit ribosomal RNA
Source: RNAcentral